GUCCCUUCGGCGACAUCCAAUGAACUGAAUUGGAACGAUACACAGAAGAUUAGCACGACACAUACGCAAGAAUAACAUGUCAAUAUGCUGGUCAAAAUUGCAUUAC
Molecule: small nuclear RNA, 106 nt
Filed under: Nicotiana attenuata
Lineage: Eukaryota; Viridiplantae; Streptophyta; Magnoliopsida; Solanales; Solanaceae
Source: RNAcentral